This 441-nucleotide small RNA is filed under the name Pan troglodytes (chimpanzee). RNAcentral describes it as "processed transcript". Lineage: Eukaryota; Metazoa; Chordata; Mammalia; Primates; Hominidae. The record is from RNAcentral.
CUUUGAACUUUUUCGUUGCCAUGAUAAACUUCUGCGAAAGACUUUAUACACACAUAUUGUGACUGAUAUCAAGAAUAUAAAUGCAAAACACAAGAACAAUAAAGUGAAUGUAGUAAGUACUCUUCUGUCUUCCAUGUUUGCAGCAUUGUACCAUCAGUGUAUUAAGUCUUCUUUCUCCUCCUUUUCUGCAGGUAUUGCAAAAUUUCAUGUACACCAUGUUAAGAGAUAGCAAUGCAACCGCAGCCAAGAUGUCUUUAGAUGUAAUGAUUGAACUCUACAGAAGGAACAUCUGAUAUUAGUUGCCGCUUUGACAUUCUUUCUUGGGAAAGAUGAAGAUGAAAAACAGGACAGUGACUCCGAAUCUGAGGAUGAUGGACCAACAGCAAGAGACCUGCUAGUACAAUAUGCUACAGGGAAGAAAAGUUCCAAAAACAAGAAAAA